GACGAACGCUGGCGGCGUGCCUAAUACAUGCAAGUCGAACGCACUCUCGUUUAGAUUGAAGGAGCUUGCUCCUGAUUGAUAAACAUUUGAGUGAGUGGCGGACGGGUGAGUAACACGUGGGUAACCUGCCCUAAAGUGGGGGAUAACAUUUGGAAACAGAUGCUAAUACCGCAUAAAACCUAAACACCGCAUGGUGUAGGGUUGAAAGAUGGUUUCGGCUAUCACUUUAGGAUGGACCCGCGGUGCAUUAGUUAGUUGGUGAGGUAAAGGCUCACCAAGACCGUGAUGCAUAGCCGACCUGAGAGGGUAAUCGGCCACACUGGGACUGAGACACGGCCCAGACUCCUACGGGAGGCAGCAGUAGGGAAUCUUCCACAAUGGACGAAAGUCUGAUGGAGCAACGCCGCGUGAGUGAAGAAGGUUUUCGGAUCGGUAAAACUCUGUUGUUGGAGAAGAAUGUAUCUGAUAGUAACUGAUCAGGUAGUGACGGUAUCCAACCAGAAA
RNAcentral lists this ribosomal RNA (504 nucleotides) under uncultured bacterium. Its description in RNAcentral is "bacterial SSU rRNA". It matches the Rfam family "Bacterial small subunit ribosomal RNA", at positions 28 to 489 of the family's 1533-position model. The record is from RNAcentral.